AGCUCCGAGGUGUAUUACAUACAGGAUUGCAAAUCCUGAGUAGCAGGGUAGAACCUGCCGGGGCUU
RNAcentral lists this transfer RNA (66 nucleotides) under Dactyloptena tiltoni (plain helmet gurnard). RNAcentral's name for it is "tRNA-Cys". The record is from RNAcentral. Lineage: Eukaryota; Metazoa; Chordata; Actinopteri; Syngnathiformes; Dactylopteridae.